Molecule: long non-coding RNA, 8789 nt
Organism: Haemorhous mexicanus (house finch)
Lineage: Eukaryota; Metazoa; Chordata; Aves; Passeriformes; Fringillidae
Exons: 3
Source: RefSeq, a predicted model, not a curated record
CAAUUUUGUGACAGUAUUUCCUUACAAGAGCAGAGAAAGUGAUGUCUGGUCUAACUUGAAUCAAAGACAAGGCGAUGAGUCCUCAAUCUGCAAGGCAGGACAGAGGACCUUGGUGGAAAAAGAUGUGUGCACUAGUGUCACGAGCCGUCCUUGCAGACGGGCUUCGUGGUGGUUCUUAGAUUGAUCUCAGGGUGAAAAAAACCGACACGGUACAAGGGGUUGCAGUAUUAAUUAACACAAAUGCACUUUAUUGAAAUAACCACAGCAAAAAUGCUUCAGGGAGGAAUUGGGGAAAAUAGGGAAAGAUAAGGAAUAAAAGGGAGGAAAAGGAAAAGUAUAUAGCUACCAAACAUGAGAAUGGUGGGGGUCCUUUGGUGUCCAGCCGACGAGGUUCAUGUCCGGGGAGAUCUCGGAGAUGCAGUCCAUUCUGGACCCUAAUUAUACUCUUCUCAUCACAAGGGAAGGAGAUUAUUUCAAAACUGAAUCUAUUGUAUCUUCUGGUAAAAAGAAUGGUAUUUGGAAAAGGGGUACACACAGUCCAUCUCUCAGUGGGUGAGGGCCAUUGUUUUCAUGGUCCAAUGCCUGCACCUGCAAUCAUCCAUCUUGCUUUGGUCAGCUCGCCUCCCCCCUGUGCACCUCCCCCAGGCUGGGGGCUUCAGUCCCAGUCCUUGGGGAGUGUGAAGGAGGCCUUUCUCACAUGGGGAUUUCUCGAGUUUUUCUCUGGUGGAGAGGCUUCUGUCAUCUCAGCUUGUCUGUCACGGUCGUUUUAGAUGAACGAGAGGGGUCUUCUGUGAGGGACCUCCCAAAAGCUCAGGAGAAGUUCAGCCAGGCCAAGAGGUGGGACGGCUUCCAAGGCUAUUGUUGCAAAAAGGGCACAGUGUCCCCUUCUUCUCGUUGGGUUCAGUGUAGCAUGCAGAAAAAUGCACCUGUGGAAACAGUAGCUUAGCAAUCAGGUCUCAGAGCCCCUGGUUUGGCGGGUAAUUUUCCACUGUAUGGCCAGGAAUGGGACAAAGGGGGUCUUCUGAGCGGUCUCUCAAUGACAGUUGUGGGGCAGAUUGGAGGAUAUUUCGGACAGACUUUCACAGCUGGAAGUCUGGCACUUGUAAAAGUGGUCACCACAGGAGUUGAACAGUGCUAAGAGAAUCAUUUUGGUGCUUGAUCAGUUAGGAAAACCUCACAGCUGAAAACAGUAGAGGUUUGUACAAUGGUUUUGAUACUGUAAAUGAUAUGAACAAAUGAGCCUUUGUCAGGUGACCAGAUCAUCUAUGCCUUACCAACAAAACAAGUUAAAUCAACUCCCCUUUUUUGUGGUCAGCAUAACUUGAUUUAUUAACGUCUAGGUCAACAAAGUGAUUGACAGCAGUAUAUAACAAGGCAGCAAAAUCAAUUGUACAAAGAUCUGGAGCUGGAGCUUUGCUGACUCUAUUCUGAUAACCAUGAAUGCACAGAAAACAUCACAGCUGGACUGUGCAAGGGUCAGUGCCCAGCUGAGCCAACAAAGAACUCAUAUGAAGGGAAGGUCUUUCAAGCAUUUCUGGCAGGGCAGUGGAAAGAGGCCCACCACCCUUGAUGAUUCCAGUCACCAUCUCUCCAGUCAUUGUCUGCAGAGGAAUCUGGAUAGGCUGGAUCAAUAGGCCAAGACCAAUGGUAACGGAUGGUCAGCAGAGACAACCCCACUUCUACUCUGAAGUUGCCUGGCUUAUGAAAGGAAAGCUUGAGAUAAAAUCCAUCCUGUGCUCUUGCUGGUGGUUUUUCCCAGAUCCAGAAAGAGUUUACUGGAAUGCAGCAUGCACCCAGCACUGUGAGCUGGAUAUCCCAUUUAUGGGCUUUUAUCCCUUUUUUUGAUGUGUCCUCCUUGUACCUGGUGAUACAUAGAAAUGUAAGACUGGCUUUGAGUGAUUAUUUACAGAAAGGUGAGUUGCUUUCCCAGGUAUUGUUGCUUUCAAGCUUCUCUCUCACCUUGGCAUGAAGCUAUUAUAAGUAUUAACCUCUGGAACACCUUCAUUGCAAUUGAAGCAGCAAAUGGUGCAACACUGGCUUUUAGGAAGGAUGAGUGCCAAUCACUUACUAAAAUUGAUUCGAGUUCUGCCAAGAAUUUUAAACUUUCUAGACACUUUUAAGGAAGAGGAAAGCUGUUUGAAUAAUGAUAAAUGUAAUGGAUACUAUUUUUAAUAUUAAUAUAUAUGUCUGUUCUGGCAUUGUGUUGAGAAGUUCACUUUAAAUCAUUAAGCUUUACAUUAUUAAUUAAUGAUGACACCAUAAAAAUACUAUACUUUGAAGAGGGAUUAAUAUAUAAAUCAUAAUGGUCCUGAUUCAAUUCACAAUGAUUUGAUUUCUCCAUGGGACCUGCAAUCUUAAAGAGACAGGCUGUUAAAGAGAUCAACUAAUUUAUAUUUUGGCUGCUCUUUUAGGUCCAAGUCAAUUAGCUGAAAAUUCUUCAGCCAUAAAAUUCUUGUUCUUUACUAUCUAGGCAAGCCCUUUAAUAACCACACUGCACUUACUGGUACGUAGAUUGGAACUGAAUUCUUUUAAAACUGGAAUUCUAUACCUUAAAAUCUUCCUCCUGUAUUUUUAGCGAGUUUGUCCAUUAUUGGCCAAUACAUGAUGUAUCAAAUAUUUCCAUGAUGCAUCAAAUACUUCCAUGAUGCAUUUUCAUGACUAGCAGUAUGCUAGUGCAGAGCAGUGUGUGUUAUUGAAGGUAUGUAUGGUUUGAACUAUUUAUUUGUCCAUUUAAUUCCUCCUUUUGUUCAAUUAUUUGCCUUCUUUAUUAUUAGUACUUGCCCUUUCAAAGGAGAAAGAGAGCUCAAAUGACCAUCAGCAAGCACAUCAUGAGUAUUUUGGGAAGAUUGCCCUUUAGAGAUGUGCAGACAGUGUGCCCACCUCCCAUUCACAGCACAAAAGGUCUCACUUCAAAUGGUUUUGGGAGAAGAGGAGCCUCCAGUCACCCAACACCGAUGGAUGUCUCUGCUGAGUCACACGCGCCUGCCUCGCGAGCACGGCAGGAUUGGUGCUCUGCCAGGAUGAUACUGUGCCAAAAUUGUGUCCUGUGUGCUGUAAGUGGCCAUUCAUCAAGUGCAACUGAUGACAUCCUGACAAAUGAGUCAGGUUUAUUUGAUAUUAGAGAGUGUUUUCAUUUGCAUGUUGUAAGUGGAACAAUCUCCUGCUUGCUGUGAUCACAGUUUCCCUGUUUCUUUUGCAACACAUACCAGUAUAAUACACCUAAGGUAACACCUACAUUGCAAUCAUUGCUGCAUGCCAGUAGAUUUUACAGGAAUAUUUGACAUGAUCAUAUGUUCCUGUUACCUUAUUUAACACAGUGCUCUCUUAGUACUUUUUUUUUCUCAUAAAUUGUGUCAUUUCUUUUUUUAGGCAAGAAAAGGCUUUUCCUGUCACUUAUUACCUGAGAAGAUGGUAAUGUAUCAUUCAAAAAAAAUUACUAAAGGAAACAAUUCAGGCCACUUUUCUGUGGGCUGUAAUUGGCUACCCAGUGCCCCCUGGGGAGACACCUCCCCACGCAGCAUAUCUCACCCAAGUUAGGGUCACAAGGAACUAUUAGAUCAUCAAACUUGGCCUGAUACAUAUCAAAGGCAUUUAAGUUUCACCCAGGAAUGUCUUGCUUGUUACAUAUUAAGUUUUCAGGCGAAAAAACUACACCAUUGUCUAGUGCUUAGAAGCAGCUGAGGUCACUUAGUUUGUUCAGCCUGGAGUAGAGGGGACUGAGGGGAAACUUCAUUGCAGACACAACUUCCUUGUGAGGGGAAGGGGAGGGGCAGACACUGUUCUCUCCUCUGCAGUGACCAGCGACAGGAUCCAAAGGAUCGGCUUGAGAUUCUGUCAGGGGGGUUUAGGCUGGAUAUCAGGAAAAGGUUCUUCACCCAGAGGUGGCUGGGCACUGGAACAGCUCCCCAGGGAAGUGGUCACAGCAGCAAGCCUGGAAGAGUUCAAGGACAGUGCUCUCAGGCACAUGGUGUGACUUUUGGGGUGAUUCUGUGCAGGGCCAGGAGCUGGACUUGAUGAUCCUUUCAGGACCCUUCCAAUUCAGGAUAUUCUAUAAUUCUAUGUUUUAACAAGAUUGAUCCCUCCCUCUGCCCCAGUAGAAAUAUUUCUUGUUCCCACCAGGUCCAAAGACCCCAUGGCUGCAUUCAGACUGCAAAAUCAAGCAGAGCCAGCUACACACUGCAAAAUAAAGCAGGGUUAACGUGAGCAGUUUGCUCAUGUCCACACCACACGGAGCUUGGAUUUGUACCUCUCCUGAGCAUUACACUUUCUGAUGAGUUCAACAAGUCUGAAGUUAUACAAGUGCUGUGUUGCAACCCAUCAGGGGCAUAGUUUGAUAACAUGACAUGACCUGGGUGUGUUGCAUGCCUCGAGAAAUUGCCUGCAGGUACAAAGUCUGCUGGGAUAACAUUGGAGGAUUGUGUGGGGUGGAGGAGCCAAACCUGACACAGUUUUGCCCAUAAUGCCUAUUGUGAAUGCUCCUUGCAGUCUGCUGCCUUCUGGACUGGGCCAUUGUCUUCUCAAAGUGGGCUAACUGGGACAGGUCAACAACAUGCCACAUACUGACAGCUGCUGCAGUGUUGUUUCACCUAAGGGUUGGUUUACCUAAGACCUGAAGGUCACUGCAGGUAACCAUGCAGAAUUCUGCAGGUUAGCAGAAUUCCUAUAUCUUAUAACUGUGUCAUGCAGCCUUUUGACUGAUAUAGGGAGAAGGUGAUUCCAGCUUAGAAUAUAUACCAGUACAGAAAUGGGACCUAGAGUUCCAGACAGUUGGAAGAUCUGGCUUGUUUUUUCACCCAGAACUCACAAACCCAUGUAGAAGUCACAUGCCUUCCUGGCAGACACAUGUGCAAGUUUUUUGUUUACUAAAAAUGGAUUUUCUUUGAACAUCCAUAAUGAAAAAUUAUUGAUAAUAUAGAAUAAUUCUGUCUUUUCCUCUUGAAAACAUCUACACUGAAUGAAAGAUGAACCUACUUUUACAUCACAGGAGAUUCCUUGAUUUUGUAACAGACUGCCAGACAAGGAAAUGGCUGGAUGUAGAAUUCCCCAGGGUGUCAGAAAAGCUUGAUUUCAGUAGGGUUAUGCUGACAUAAAUACUGAAACAACCCAGUCAUCGAUCAAACAAAAACAGAAAGGCAAUAUUUUACUUGUUUUGAUUACUGCUUUUUUCACAGUAACUUCAUCACAGCCAAAAAUUUAAAAAAAAUUAAAAUUUGUAAUUCUCUUUUUAUAUGUAUAAUAAUUGUAGAGAAUCAUUGAGUGGUUGAUGUUGGAAGGGACCUCUGGAGAUCAUCUUGUCUUCACCCCAGACUCAAGCAUGGCCUCCUACAACCAAUUGCCCAGGACUGUGAAUAGAUCAUGUCUAGACAUAAUUACAGUAACACAGAUAUUUCCUUCUGAUGCUCAUGCAUGAAUUUUUAUUAUAAUUUCAUCAUUGGCUCUUUGAAAAGCAAACUUGUGCUUUUCAUCAUAACCAGACGAACCCUUUGAGUGUCUAUGAGGAAGUCUAAUAAUUUCAGCAGCACUGACCUUGAGAAUUUGUGUACUCCAAGAUUACUCCAAGAUGUUAGAGGUCCCAGAGAGAUUAUUUACCCAUUUGUGGACUAUUAUUUCCUUUUCAAAGUUAUGUUAAUUAAAAGAUUUUCAAUUCCUUUGUUUGGGUAAACAAUUUUGGAAACAUGGACUAAGACUUUCAUGGUCUAGAUUGGUCUUCCUGAAUCUACCAGUUUCUUUAAAGAGUUGUUCACUGGCUGUGAACUGCCUUUUGGGAUUCUUAGCAGUACAGCCCACCCUACUGUUCGUUCUUUCCUUUCUGAUCAUUUUUAAAGAUUACUGCUUUUCCAAUGAGUCCAAAAUUCCCCAAUUUUUACUUAGUUCCAGUUUGAUUCAUGGCAGCACUCAAAACAUCUGUGACCAAAUCAAAGCCGUGAACAAGCAGCAACUUCAAUAGAAUUUAAUCUUUAAGUAAGUAAUUGGGGUACAGCCUGAGAACAUGGUAUUCAUUAAAAAGGGAAGGACUUUUCCUUCUAAAAGCCUUGCUGCUGCAUACAACAGCUUUUCCUGGCCUCACCAUGCUCUAUGGUUCUGCUGCAGACUUCAAUCCAGUUUGCCAUGUCUUAAAUUCUCAAAUGUUUCUCACAGUUCACCUUAAAUAUUGAACUUGAGAAAGAACUUGAGCAUUAGAAUCUUUUCCCAAUGGAAUCAGAGCAUGAUCUUCCUUCUGCAGCCUGGUGACCCUGCUGGACAGGACAGCUCACUGGUCCCUGAUGCUCCACUCACUGCACAAGGGAUCAGCUUGCCUUCCUUACAAGUCCAGAUACCUUAUACUUUAGCACAGUUUUAAAAAGCUAUUUGGAGUCCUGCUGUCACUGCUAUGAACACAGCUUAACAAAAACUAUUAUCUAGCUAUAACAAGAAAUAACACCAUAAAAUGUGUCUCUAGAGAAAAACAGGUUCCUUGUCUGAGUGUGCAAUUUGUUUUUCAGCUGCUUCAAAACCAUAACAGCAGAGCACAACUUUGAGGUCUUACCUGUGAACAAGCAGCAACAGAAAUCUGAUGUGAGGGGAAGCUGCAGCAUGUUUGUGCAACCAUGGCAGAGCAAGGUUAAGACAAGUAUGGAGGUAAAAUAUGUGUUGGCAAUGCCAAAGCAGGUUAUAGGUUAAAAAGGGUCAUUGAUUUUGCAACAAAAGUACUCUGAGUGUAGGUCACAUGUUAGCCUUAACCCAUCAGCCACUUGAUUCAGUAUUGUGGCCUUCCUCAUAACAGUAGUGAACUCUUAAACUGAAAAUGUGAGUAAAAGUUACAGUUAUAAAAAAUUGGACUUUGUAUCAGUAAGCAAGAAUUAGGACUCUUGUACAUAUUUUAGUAAAUUAAUAUGUUAUAACAAUUUUCCUUGUUGCUGAGAUCCACCCAAGAUUGUCCCUAGUAAGCUGCAUGACAAGAUGCAAAGGUUUGGAACAGGCCACUGUGCACAUGAAUCACACCCACUGCAGAGUUUUUGCUUCAACAACUGAGCUGCUGCUAGGUACUGCUGAGGCCAUAUCCUAGGGAUGACUAAAGGAUGCCUACUCCAUUCUCUGUUUUCCAUUUUAAACAAAAAAUCAGCACAAAUCAUCACAAAUGCUAAGCCUUUUGGGACAAGAGGGCAAACACCAAGGAUUUUGAACUUUUGUUCCUAAUCCUAAUUAGAAAACCUCACUGAUAAUGUUUUCAUCAUUGUUUGCACCAUCUUGAAUUUAAUAGGUUCCACUUAACUGGCUUUAACAAAGAACCAGAUAAAGAAAGCUCCAAAUAGGCAAUUUAUUGAGUUAUUUUCCCACCACUUCUUAAACUGAGCUGAAAGAUUGCAUUUUGUUUGAAAUGUGAGAAAAGGUGCAGAAGACAUUAUGUAACUGAUGCCAGUACCUAAAUGUCCAUUGGUUUCUAUAGGCCCAGGAUUCAUAUGUGGUCUGAUUUUUGUUCAUAGGUGUUUCAUUAUUCAUCACAAAUCAUGGACUCACAAACCCAAGGCCCUGCUGCUUUCGAUGUUGUACAAAUGCAAGAGAUUUCUUCACUUUCUGUCUCUCUCCAGAGCUGCACUUCAUAAUUAUAUGUAAGAUACAAAUCUACUUAGAAGAGAACUCAUUUCGUGUGACUCAGUUGUAAGAGACAGAUGGGGCCACGUUUACAGCCAGGUAAAUUCUUUGUUGUUAGAAUUUUACAGGGUAUUGAACAACUUUCACAAAUGCAUCCAAGGUAAAGAAAGGGCUCCACCUCCAGUUGUUUUGGAGCCUGUGUGUAACAAACAAAAUGCUGUACUUCUUGUGCCUUGAUGCAGAUCUGCCCAGAGCAUUGCAGUGCCAAACAUGGACAGCUGAGCAGCCUCAGGUGCCAAAAGGAAAAAGGCCACAAUGGCUCAGUGCUGCCCUAAGGUGGAGAAGCAGGCUGAAAGUAAAUAAUUUGUAUGCUUUGUGUGGCAGGAGUACCCAGGGAGACGUCAGUGCCACGCAGCACAUGCAACCAUUUUGCCCACAUUCUCUCUUGUAAGAAAGAAAGUUGCAUCAAGCUUCAGGGUUGUCCUGUGCAGGGCCAGGAUCUGGACUCGGUGAUAUUUGUGUGUCACUUCCAAAUCAGGGUAUUCUAUGUGAUGCUCCAGAAAAAGCCUGUUCUAAGAGGUAAAUUGGAAAUGUAAAACAUAUCAAAACCCCUCAUUUUCUAGAAAAUUGUUCCAAUUAAUUAACAAGAGACAUAAAACCAAACUCAGCCUUUGAGCUGCCAAAUGCUGUGACACAGGUAUUUCCUUGCAGAGCUGAGUCUUGGGGCACUUGGAGAACAGUCAGGAAAACCCAUCACAGAGUAUUUGAUUUAAUCCUUACUAAUAAAUCAACAGGGGUUUCACUAGAAGACUGUAUGUGGAAUUAUUUUAUUCCCAGCUUCACCAUCCAUGCUUUCUGUCCAGCAACACUCACUUUUUGAGGUCUUGUGAUUAAAUCUGACCUGCCAAUUCUGUGGAAAUUUCCUACUCCUGUUACUGCUCAGCCUCUUUGAUGCUGUGUCUGUCAGAACAGCCACUCGGUGCACUGAGAGAGAGAAUACUCCUCAUCUUGACAGAGUAUAUGGACAGCCCUACACCAACAUGUAAUUAUGUUGAAACUUGUCCUCUUUUAACCUUACUGUUGCUAUUUCAAGAGCAAUUUUCAUUUAUACAAAUUAGACCCUGUGAAGCACGCAAAUAUCAACUAAAUGUGAACUCAUGGAAAUUUCUCCUUGCUGAACAGCAUCAUUUGAGCAAUUCAGAAGACUAGUAUUUCCU